CUCGCGAUUCCAUCCCUGGAUUCGAACACCGACUUGUCGUAAAGGAGAUAGGAGGAGACGAUGGGAACAACAAAUCUCACACCCAACUUUUAAGUUCAGUUAAAAAUGAGAAGCUGGCAUCACGCGUCAGACAUUUUGCUAUUGUUCCGCUGCUAGCAUACCACGACGACAUUUCGAUUGGGAAAUAUUACUUGAUUUCACCGUAUUUUGAAAAUCAAGACUUGUUCGAUGCAAUACGAUCUGACACUGGGGAACAGAUUCUUCUUGUGUGGAAAACAAGGCUGAAAGUGAUUUACCAGAUAGCCUGUGCAAUAGACUAUAUGCACACACCGAAU
Molecule: long non-coding RNA, 335 nt
Organism: Dreissena polymorpha
Lineage: Eukaryota; Metazoa; Mollusca; Bivalvia; Myida; Dreissenidae
Exons: 3
Source: RefSeq, a predicted model, not a curated record